ACGGCGAGUGAAGCGGCAAAAGCUCAAAUUUGAAAUCUGGUACCUUCGGUGCCCGAGUUGUAAUUUGGAGAGGGCAACUUUGGGGCCGUUCCUUGUCUAUGUUCCUUGGAACAGGACGUCAUAGAGGGUGAGAAUCCCGUGUGGCGAGGAGUGCGGUUCUUUGUAAAGUGCCUUCGAAGAGUCGAGUUGUUUGGGAAUGCAGCUCUAAGUGGGUGGUAAAUUCCAUCUAAAGCUAAAUAUUGGCGAGAGACCGAUAGCGAACAAGUACAGUGAUGGAAAGAUGAAAAGAACUUUGAAAAGAGAGUGAAAAAGUACGUGAAAUUGUUGAAAGGGAAGGGCAUUUGAUCAGACAUGGUGUUUUGUGCCCUCUGCUCCUUGUGGGUAGGGGAAUCUCGCAUUUCACUGGGCCAGCAUCAGUUUUGGUGGCAGGAUAAAUCCAUAGGAAUGUAGCUUGCCUCGGUAAGUAUUAUAGCCUGUGGGAAUACUGCCAGCUGGGACUGAGGACUGCGACGUAAGUCAAGGAUGCUGGCAUAAUGGUUAUAUGCCGCCCGUCUUGAAACACGGACCAAGGAGUCUAACGUCUAUGCGAGUGUUUGGGUGUAAAACCCAUACGCGUAAUGAAAGUGAACGUAGGUUGGGGCCUCGCAAGAGGUGCACAAUC
Molecule: ribosomal RNA, 661 nt
Filed under: Saccharomyces cerevisiae (brewer's yeast)
Lineage: Eukaryota; Fungi; Ascomycota; Saccharomycetes; Saccharomycetales; Saccharomycetaceae
Description: eukaryotic LSU rRNA
Rfam family: Eukaryotic large subunit ribosomal RNA
Source: RNAcentral